Molecule: ribosomal RNA, 244 nt
Filed under: uncultured bacterium
Lineage: Bacteria
Description: partial 16S ribosomal RNA
Rfam family: Bacterial small subunit ribosomal RNA
Source: RNAcentral
UGGCGACCGGCGCACGGGUGAGUAACGCGUAUGCAACCUGCUCGAUACCGGGGUAUAGCCCAUGGAAACGUGGAUUAACACCCCAUAGUACUUUUAUCCUGCCUGGGAUGGGAGUUAAAUGUUCAAGGUAUCGGAUGGGCAUGCGUCCUAUUAGUUAGUUGGCGGGGUAACAGCCCACCAAGACGAUGAUAGGUAGGGGUUCUGAGAGGAAGGUCCCCCACAUUGGAACUGAGACACGGUCCAA